This is a long non-coding RNA of Lepisosteus oculatus (spotted gar), 539 nucleotides long. RefSeq lists it as uncharacterized. Lineage: Eukaryota; Metazoa; Chordata; Actinopteri; Semionotiformes; Lepisosteidae. The record is from RefSeq and is a predicted model, not a curated record.
UGUGGGUUCCGCUAGGAUGAAAAUUGUUAUAUAAAGGCUAGAUUGUAAUACUGCUGUACUUACAGGGAUGGCGAAGUGGUGUGAGGCAGGAGACCGGAUUUAGGUUCGAGCGCACAAUCCAAAACGCAAUAUAAUUGUAACCGGGGACAAGCGUAAGUCAAAGGUCUAUAAAGUCCCAGGGGAAAGUAUGAAGUGGAGUAGAGACGGCAGUCCAGUGUCAAAGCCAGAGAAGUCCAUCGCAGUACAGAGGCAAUCCAGGAGCACAGUGAGAAAGCAAGCACAGUUGGAGCAUGAACAGGAACAUUUUCAAAGGCUGAUAACAUUGCAAGAGAGCGGCAGAGCAGAAGAAAGGCUUCUCUUUUGUUGGAGAGAGAAGAGGGGUGCUUUCACUGCAGAGAGAUACAGAUCUGACUUUCUCCGUUAUCACAUUAAUUAUUUUCAUCAAUAAAAGAACAGGGUCUGCUAAGAUGUAAUUGACCUGACUGAAAAGAGAUGAUGGCAGAUUUUGGAUGAGACUGCUGUCCGAAUGAAAAACGACG